GUGGGUACAGCUCAACGGUAGAGCGCAUGCUUAGCAUGCACGAGGUCCUGGGUUCAAUCCCCAGUACCUCCU
RNAcentral lists this transfer RNA (72 nucleotides) under Camelus bactrianus (Bactrian camel). It matches the Rfam family "tRNA". From Rfam's summary of the family: Transfer RNA (tRNA) molecules are approximately 80 nucleotides in length. Their secondary structure includes four short double-helical elements and three loops (D, anti-codon, and T loops). Lineage: Eukaryota; Metazoa; Chordata; Mammalia; Artiodactyla; Camelidae. RNAcentral also lists the same sequence under 1 other name. The record is from Rfam by way of RNAcentral.